Molecule: ribosomal RNA, 468 nt
Filed under: uncultured bacterium
Lineage: Bacteria
Description: partial 16S ribosomal RNA
Rfam family: Bacterial small subunit ribosomal RNA
Source: RNAcentral
GACGAACGCUGGCGGCGUGCUUAACACAUGCAAGUCGAACGGAAAGGCCCUGCUUUUGUGGGGUGCUCGAGUGGCGAACGGGUGAGUAACACGUGAGUAACCUGCCCUUGACUUUGGGAUAACUUCAGGAAACUGGGGCUAAUACCGGAUAGGAGCUCCUGCUGCAUGGUGGGGGUUGGAAAGUUUCGGCGGUUGGGGAUGGACUCGCGGCUUAUCAGCUUGUUGGUGGGGUAGUGGCUUACCAAGACUUUGACGGGUAGCCGGCCUGAGAGGGUGACCGGCCACAUUGGGACUGAGAUACGGCCCAGAAUCCUACGGGAGGCAGCAGUGGGGAAUAUUGCACAAUGGGCGGAAGCCUGAUGCAGCAACGCCGCGUGCGGGAUGACGGCCUUCGGGUUGUAAACCGCUUUCGCCUGUGACGAAGCGUGAGUGACGGUAAUGGGUAAAGAAGCACCGGCUAACUACGUG